Molecule: ribosomal RNA, 257 nt
Filed under: uncultured Funneliformis
Lineage: Eukaryota; Fungi; Glomeromycota; Glomeromycetes; Glomerales; Glomeraceae
Description: partial large subunit ribosomal RNA
Rfam family: Eukaryotic large subunit ribosomal RNA
Source: RNAcentral
GAAAGAUGAAAAGAACUUUGAAAAGAGAGUUAAACAGUACGUGAAAUUGUUGAAAGGGAAACGAUUGAAGUCAGUCAUACCAACGGGAAAUCAACCUCUUGAGCUCGGUCUCGUGGGUUUUGAAGAGUUUCAAAGCCUUCGGAUUCGCGGGAUUGGGAUCUCUUGGUGUACUUUUUCGUACGGUUAGUCAACAUCGGUUUUGAAUGUCAUAAAAUGACUGGAGGAAUGUAGCUUCGAUCUCGUAUUGAAGUGUUAUA